RNAcentral lists this ribosomal RNA (259 nucleotides) under uncultured bacterium. RNAcentral's name for it is "partial 16S ribosomal RNA". It matches the Rfam family "Bacterial small subunit ribosomal RNA", at positions 96 to 354 of the family's 1533-position model. The record is from RNAcentral.
UGGCGGACGGGUGAGUAACGCGUGGAAAACCUGCCGUAUACUGGGGGAUAACACUUAGAAAUAGGUGCUAAUACCGCAUAAGCGCACAGCUUCGCAUGAAGUGGUGUGAAAAACUCCGGUGGUAUACGAUGGUUCCGCGUCUGAUUAGCUUGUUGGUGGGGGUAAUGGCUCACCAAGGCGACGAUCAGUAGCCGGCCUGAGAGGGUGAACGGCCACAUUGGGACUGAGACACGGCCCAAACUCCUACGGGAGGCAGCAG